CACGUACUGUGCGAACGUUAUUCGGAAUCACUGGGCUUAAAGGGUGCGUAGGCGGCGAUUCAAGUCAGAUGUGAAAUGCCUGAGCUCAACUGAGGCAUUGCGUUUGAAACUGAUUUGCUAGAGUAUUUCAGGGGUGUGCGGAACUGCCAGUGGAGCGGUGAAAUGUGUUGAUAUUGGCAGGAACACCGGAGGCGAAAGCGGCACACUGGGGAAUAACUGACGCUGAGGCACGAAAGCCAGGGGAGCGAACGGGAUUAGAAACCCUUGUAGU
RNAcentral lists this ribosomal RNA (271 nucleotides) under uncultured bacterium. RNAcentral describes it as "partial 16S ribosomal RNA". It matches the Rfam family "Bacterial small subunit ribosomal RNA", at positions 524 to 794 of the family's 1533-position model. The record is from RNAcentral.